RNAcentral lists this ribosomal RNA (215 nucleotides) under uncultured Hyphomicrobiales bacterium. RNAcentral's name for it is "uncultured Rhizobiales bacterium partial 16S ribosomal RNA". It matches the Rfam family "Bacterial small subunit ribosomal RNA", at positions 116 to 348 of the family's 1533-position model. Lineage: Bacteria; Pseudomonadati; Pseudomonadota; Alphaproteobacteria; Hyphomicrobiales. The record is from RNAcentral.
CGUGGGAAUCUACCUUGAGCUACGGGAUAACAGAGAGAAAUUUCUGCUAAUACCGUAUGUGGCCUUUGGGCGAAAGAUUUAUCGGCUUAAGAUGAGCCCGCGUUGGAUUAGCUGGUUGGUGGGGUAAAGGCCUACCAAGGCGACGAUCCAUAGCUGGUCUGAGAGGAUGAUCAGCCACACUGGGACUGAGACACGGCCCAGACUCCUACGGGAGG